This 73-nucleotide transfer RNA is filed under the name Ignavibacteriales bacterium. RNAcentral's name for it is "tRNA-Cys". It matches the Rfam family "tRNA". From Rfam's summary of the family: Transfer RNA (tRNA) molecules are approximately 80 nucleotides in length. Their secondary structure includes four short double-helical elements and three loops (D, anti-codon, and T loops). Further hydrogen bonds mediate the characteristic L-shaped molecular structure. tRNAs have two regions of fundamental functional importance: the anti-codon, which is responsible for specific mRNA codon recognition, and the 3' end, to which the tRNAs corresponding amino acid is attached (by aminoacyl-tRNA synthetases). tRNAs cope with the degeneracy of the genetic code in two manners: having more than one tRNA (with a specific anti-codon) for a particular amino acid; and 'wobble' base-pairing, i.e. permitting non-standard base-pairing at the 3rd anti-codon position. Lineage: Bacteria; Pseudomonadati; Ignavibacteriota; Ignavibacteria; Ignavibacteriales. The record is from RNAcentral.
GGCGGCGUACCCAAGUGGCUAAGGGAAAGGUCUGCAAAACCUUCAUGCAUCGGUUCGAAUCCGAUCGCCGCCU